Molecule: long non-coding RNA, 2892 nt
Organism: Pezoporus occidentalis (night parrot)
Lineage: Eukaryota; Metazoa; Chordata; Aves; Psittaciformes; Psittacidae
Exons: 2
Source: RefSeq, a predicted model, not a curated record
CCAGGGAUGGGGCAGCCACAACUUCUCUGGGCACCCUGUGCCAGCGCCUCAGCACCCUCACAGGGAAGAGCUUCUGCCUAAGAGCUCAUCUCAGUCUCCCCUCUGGCAGGUUAAAGCCAUUCCCCUUGGCCUGUCCCUACAGGCCCUUGUCUAAAGCCCCUCUCCAGGUUUCCUGUAGCCCACCCUACAAUACAAACCCUUAAGUAUUUUCUUUAAAGCCUGACCCAUCUGCUGCCUUCUCCUCCUGUUUCUUAAAGCUGAAUAAAUCUGUGCUCCCUCCCCUGGAUCACUGAGCUUUUCCUCUGCAGUGUUUUAUCGCACUGGGCCCAAUGUUUUGUUUGGGUUUUCCUUGCAGCAAUCUGAUGCUUUUAAGAGCAAAACCUUUAUUAGGGGCCUGGACUCGAGCAGCCAGAUCUGAUUACUUGGCAGAGGCCUGGCAGCAGAGAGACAGUCCCUGUAGGCUCUGAUGUGCAGCAGGAAACCUUCAUUACCAGAGGUUACUUGGGCUCAGGUCCAGCCUGGGCUUUAUGUGCUCAGCUCUGCACUGAUGCCGGGCUCAGUCCAUAUUGCAGCAGAGCAUUGUCUGUGCUUCGCUGAGUUGUGCCUUUGCUAAGGGAUGUGCUGGGGGGUGGUUUGGUGUAUUAGGAAUAGUUGGUGGUUCUUGGAAGAAGGGAGUGUGCUCUUUCCAUCCUGGACCAGGCUUGUUCUGUUUCUCCAGCGGGAUGGAGAAGGCAGUGUGUGUGCUCAUGGCAAAAGGUGUAUCUGUUUGUAUCCAGAGCAGAAGAGCCAGGCAACAAAGAAGAACAUGGCUCCAGGAUUGGAACCAGAUGAUCUUUAAGGUCCCUUCCAACCCAAAGCAUUGGCAGUACCCUGCACCCUCAGCACAGAGCACUCUUGAGGAGCCUCACACCCGGGUUGAAGCUGCAGGAGCCCUGGUUUGAGGUGCUGGGGAGCAAGCAUUUGGGUUUGCAGGGCUACAACACGCAGCUGUUGUGCAAGGCUGGAGUUGGAGCCUGGAAUGCUCUCCUGCUGGAGUAGACAUCAAUGGGAAAUGCAAGGUAGGAGCCUGGUGCUCAUCGCUGGAUUACAAUCUUUGAAUGGGUGCUCUCAUCACAUUAGAAGUAAUUCAGGAAAGCUCAGCCAUGUGGUCAUCCAUGUACACCCCUUCCCAGCUGAUGGGCCUGGUAGACAUACCCAUAAACCUAUUCCAGCCAGCACCAUACCCCCCUUUCUGUGCCAGAAACCACGGCAGGUCUUUGCGUUGUGGUCGCAUCCGUAAUCCUGGUGGGAGAUCUGGCAGCGCUCAAAGCAGCUCUUUCGCCUUCACAGCCUCCAAUAAGUUAUGCAGAUCUGUGCUGGAAACGUCCCCGUGACUGACAACUGUAAAGGGAAACUGGAGAGGGACCCAGGACCUGGUUCCACCAGGAUCUGAGCCAGGUGGGUGUUGAAGGAGGCUGGUCCUUUGCCAGGGGCCUAACUCAUCACUGAGUGGAGUAUCUGCACAAGGUAUCUCUGUGACUUGAGACAAGGGCUUAACUGGGGUAUAAGCCAUAAGGAAACGCUUAUUGCCAGGCAGGAUUUGACCUUCAUUGUCUUCCCUUCUCCUCUGCUAGCACAUCCUUCACUUGCUGGUGGUGGCUGGAGGAGGGCGGGAUGCUGAGCAGGGUAUCUGUCUCCCUGAUGCUCUCAUUACAAUGGUGAAGGAUGCUACCAGGACCAUUGAGUGUAAGCUCCAGCAGAGGAAAUUGGCUGUGGAUUAUUUUCUUCAUGCAUUACAUUCCCUUGCUGUUGACGUUAAUGGUUGCUUGGGUGUGUAAUCAAAGCAAGGCUUCGCAGUCUCCUACAUCCCCACACCUUCUGGUAAUGCUUUUUAUAGGUCCCAAAUCCAAGUGCAGUGCAUCAGCAGUGGAAACAUCUCACCUUAAAAUGGCUGACUGUUCACACACUGAGGCUUUCAGCUCUUUGUUCUCCUUGUGAUGGCUCUGCUCAGACCAUGAGGUUUCCUGAGGCACAUUUUAGGUGCCUGGGCUGCAGGAGGCUAAAAGCAAUGGGGAUGAACAAUGUGCAUGUCCUGGGGUGCAGGCGGCUCGAGCCCCAGGAGGGAACACUGCUCUGUAAAGUGUAAUUACAGCAGUGAGCCAGGCAGCCAGGCCAGCACCUUCUUCCAGACGGCAGGAAUCUGGUGCAGAGAAGGCAGAUGCAGGUCUCCCAGCUUUAUGCACACCUAAAAUGGUGUCUCCACUGUGGGGCACAUGGGCAUCCCCAGCACCCUGGGUUCCUGUGAGGGUCUGGUGGUAGCUGUGGGUCCAGAAGCUGUGGCCACACAAGGAACCUGCCCUCUCAGGCUCCCCUUUCUCUUUUUUAGGGGGAAAAGGAUGAGAUCUCACUCAGCCUCCCAUUGCAGGGCUGCUUCUGUGCUACUGACAGCCUGCCCAGCACCUCCAGCACAGUCCCUAUGGGACAUCCAUCAGCACAGGACACCUGGCACUGGAUCACAGCCGUUGUCAGAGAGGACAAAGGAAGCAAGAGGUAAAUGCAAAGAGGAGCACUAAUGGUCUGUGCCACUGGAGCUGCUGGGGCUUUGACAGUGGGGAGGGCAGGAUGUGACCAUCCCACACACCAGGCUGAGACCCUGAGCUGCAAGUGGGUUGAUGUGGAAGCUUCAGCAGGGGAGAUGCAGUUUCAUAGCGGGGUGCCUGCAGGUUAUCCAUGUUUGCAACAGUCCACCCAGCACGAGGACAAUUUGUUGCUGGUUGUGUUGGGUUGUUCAGCUGGAAACUGGAGCAUCCCAUGAAUGCUCGGGCUCCUUUGCAGGGCCUGUGGGAUAUGGAAGCACCCCAUUGGAAGGGUGGGCAGGCUUGGGAUGGAUGCAGCAGCUCACACAGCAGAUGC